GAUCGCGUGGUGGAACUGGUAUACACGGGCGGUUGCCAACCGUCCCGGCCAAUGGGGCGAACUCCCGGCGGCCUUGCGGGUUCAAGUCCCGUCGCGAUCA
Molecule: transfer RNA, 100 nt
Filed under: Gemmatimonadota bacterium
Lineage: Bacteria; Pseudomonadati; Gemmatimonadota
Description: Gemmatimonadetes bacterium tRNA-Gly
Rfam family: tRNA
About the family: Transfer RNA (tRNA) molecules are approximately 80 nucleotides in length. Their secondary structure includes four short double-helical elements and three loops (D, anti-codon, and T loops). Further hydrogen bonds mediate the characteristic L-shaped molecular structure. tRNAs have two regions of fundamental functional importance: the anti-codon, which is responsible for specific mRNA codon recognition, and the 3' end, to which the tRNAs corresponding amino acid is attached (by aminoacyl-tRNA synthetases). tRNAs cope with the degeneracy of the genetic code in two manners: having more than one tRNA (with a specific anti-codon) for a particular amino acid; and 'wobble' base-pairing, i.e. permitting non-standard base-pairing at the 3rd anti-codon position.
Source: RNAcentral